Molecule: transfer RNA, 77 nt
Filed under: Candidatus Poseidoniales archaeon
Lineage: Archaea; Methanobacteriati; Thermoplasmatota; Candidatus Poseidoniia; Candidatus Poseidoniales
Description: tRNA-Ala
Rfam family: tRNA
About the family: Transfer RNA (tRNA) molecules are approximately 80 nucleotides in length. Their secondary structure includes four short double-helical elements and three loops (D, anti-codon, and T loops).
Source: RNAcentral
GGGCGUAUAGAUCAGCUUGGAAGAUCGCUUCGUUCGCAACGAAGAGGCCGCGAGUUCAAAUCUCGCUAUGUCCACCA